RNAcentral lists this ribosomal RNA (1355 nucleotides) under uncultured bacterium. Its description in RNAcentral is "bacterial SSU rRNA". It matches the Rfam family "Bacterial small subunit ribosomal RNA", at positions 28 to 1381 of the family's 1533-position model. The record is from RNAcentral.
AUUGAACGCUGGCGGCAGGCUUAACACAUGCAAGUCGAACGAUGAUUAUCUAGCUUGCUAGAUAUGAUUAGUGGCGGACGGGUGAGUAACAUUUAGGAAUCUGCCUAGUAGUGGGGGAUAGCUCGGGGAAACUCGAAUUAAUACCGCAUACGACCUACGGGUGAAAGGGGGCGCAAGCUCUUGCUAUUAGAUGAGCCUAAAUCAGAUUAGCUAGUUGGUGGGGUAAAGGCCCACCAAGGCGACGAUCUGUAACUGGUCUGAGAGGAUGAUCAGUCACACCGGAACUGAGACACGGUCCGGACUCCUACGGGAGGCAGCAGUGGGGAAUAUUGGACAAUGGGGGCAACCCUGAUCCAGCCAUGCCGCGUGUGUGAAGAAGGCCUUUUGGUUGUAAAGCACUUUAAGCAGGGAGGAGAGGCUAAUGGUUAAUACCCAUUAGAUUAGACGUUACCUGCAGAAUAAGCACCGGCUAACUCUGUGCCAGCAGCCGCGGUAAUACAGAGGGUGCGAGCGUUAAUCGGAAUUACUGGGCGUAAAGCGAGUGUAGGUGGCUCAUUAAGUCACAUGUGAAAUCCCCGGGCUUAACCUGGGAACUGCAUGUGAUACUGGUGGUGCUAGAAUAUGUGAGAGGGAAGUAGAAUUCCAGGUGUAGCGGUGAAAUGCGUAGAGAUCUGGAGGAAUACCGAUGGCGAAGGCAGCUUCCUGGCAUAAUAUUGACACUGAGAUUCGAAAGCGUGGGUAGCAAACAGGAUUAGAUACCCUGGUAGUCCACGCCGUAAACGAUGUCUACUAGCCGUUGGGGUCCUUGAGACUUUAGUGGCGCAGUUAACGCGAUAAGUAGACCGCCUGGGGAGUACGGCCGCAAGGUUAAAACUCAAAUGAAUUGACGGGGGCCCGCACAAGCGGUGGAGCAUGUGGUUUAAUUCGAUGCAACGCGAAGAACCUUACCUGGUCUUGACAUAGUGAGAAUCCUGCAGAGAUGCGGGAGUGCCUUCGGGAAUUCACAUACAGGUGCUGCAUGGCUGUCGUCAGCUCGUGUCGUGAGAUGUUGGGUUAAGUCCCGCAACGAGCGCAACCCUUUUCCUCAUUUGCCAGCGGGUUAAGCCGGGAACUUUAAGGAUACUGCCAGUGACAAACUGGAGGAAGGCGGGGACGACGUCAAGUCAUCAUGGCCCUUACGACCAGGGCUACACACGUGCUACAAUGGUAGGUACAGAGGGUUGCUACACAGCGAUGUGAUGCUAAUCUCAAAAAGCCUAUCGUAGUCCGGAUUGGAGUCUGCAACUCGACUCCAUGAAGUCGGAAUCGCUAGUAAUCGCAGAUCAGAAUGCUGCGGUGAAUACGUUCCCGGGCCU